GACUACAUGAAGCUGGAAUCGCUAGUAAUCGCGAAUCAGAAUGUCGCGGUGAAUACGUUCCCGGGUCUUGUACACACCGCCCGUCACACCAUGGGAGUCAGUAACGCCCGAAGCCGGUGACCCAACCGAUAAGGAGGGAGCCGUCGAAGGUGGGACCGAUAACUGGGGUGAAGUCGUAACAAGGUAGC
Molecule: ribosomal RNA, 188 nt
Filed under: uncultured bacterium
Lineage: Bacteria
Description: partial 16S ribosomal RNA
Rfam family: Bacterial small subunit ribosomal RNA
Source: RNAcentral